This 254-nucleotide ribosomal RNA is filed under the name uncultured bacterium. RNAcentral's name for it is "partial 16S ribosomal RNA". It matches the Rfam family "Bacterial small subunit ribosomal RNA", at positions 524 to 776 of the family's 1533-position model. The record is from RNAcentral.
UACGGGGGGGGCUAGCGUUGUUCGGAAUUACUGGGCGUAAAGGGCUCGUAGGCGGCCAACUAAGUCAGACGUGAAAUCCCCCGGCUUAACCAGGGAACUGCGUCUGAUACUGGAUGGCUUGAGUUUGGGAGAGGGAUGCGGAAUUCCAGGUGUAGCGGUGAAAUGCGUAGAUAUCUGGAGGAACACCGGUGGCGAAGGCGACAUCCUGGACCAACACUGACGCUGAGUGAGCGAAAGCCAGGGGAGCAAACGGG